Molecule: long non-coding RNA, 947 nt
Filed under: Heterocephalus glaber (naked mole-rat)
Lineage: Eukaryota; Metazoa; Chordata; Mammalia; Rodentia; Bathyergidae
Description: lncRNA (ENSHGLG00100042034.1)
Source: RNAcentral
UUUUGGUGAGGGGCAAGCCACACACUUCUUGUUUUCCUUCUCUGUAUUCCUCCCAAGAGCCCUUUCUGAACUCCUGGGGUGAAAAAGAAAAUAGUCUGAGAUGGCGUUAUUCUGUUUAAGCAAAGCCUUGACUGUGUGUGGGAGGCACGCCUCAAGCCAUCACCGGAUGGAGUGGUGAAAACUGGGUUUACUGCAUGUCAAGAACAAGCAAAAGGGAAAUGACCCUGGACUAGAAGAACAAAGUGGUCACACAGGAAGUUACUUGAAAUAUUUGGGAUGUUUCCAAAACAAAACUGCUACAACCAAAACAAGGUGAAUACAGCCAACUAUUUACUGAAGUGCUUUGUUCGUCAUGCUUGAAACUACCAGUUCAUCUAAGGAACCAACCACCAGUAUGGUCCAUCAUGAAAAUAAUAUCAAGAAUGAUUGGCUGCUCCUACCACUUCCACAGCUGUGAACAGCCCAGAUGUUCUCUCCUGAGAAGCCUUAUCUCAUAAGGGUUAUGUUCCUUACAGAAUGAGUCAUUCUUUUCCAUUCCCUGAAAUAUUAUUUGAACACAACAAACCUAAUCAUUUUUCAAAUCCUUGUACAACCCUUCAGUACAACUCUUUUAAAUGCUAAAUUGAACAAUUGAUGGAAGGCAGAAUUAGACUGCCUAUCAUGGAGGAUACAUGGACCAAUGGUCCUUCUUGCCCUGCCCUGGUAAGCUAGGUAUGGGUGGUUUACUAGCUCUAACUAGUAGGAUCAGGCUUGAAUCUUUGAACUCUAGAGAGGUGAGGGAGAGAUCAAAAGAUUGUAGAGACAGUCUCCAUGGUGGCAGUGGUGGGAGUUCAGUAGAAAAGAUAACAUCAAGAAUUCGCUGGCUGUGUCCAAGGUUGUUGGCAUCAACAACCCUGCAGUAGUAGUUCUGGCAUUGUGACCCUGAGAGAGUGUCCCCAAAGUGUUAC